CCUACGGGAGGCAGCAGUGAGGAAUAUUGGUCAAUGGGCGCAAGCCUGAACCAGCCAAGUCGCGUGAGGGAUGACGGUCCUAUGGAUUGUAAACCUCUUUUGUCGGGGAGCAAUGCCCUCCACGUGUGGCGGGAAGGAGAGUACCCGAAGAAAAAGCAUCGGCUAACUCCGUGCCAGCAGCCGCGGUAAUACGGAGGAUGCGAGCGUUAUCCGGAUUUAUUGGGUUUAAAGGGUGCGUAGGCGGAAGGUUAAGUCAGCGGUAAAAUGUCGGUGCUCAACACCGGCCUGCCGUUGAAACUGGUCUUCUUGAGUGAGCGAGAAGUAUGCGGAAUGCGUGGUGUAGCGGUGAAAUGCAUAGAUAUCACGCAGAACUCCGAUUGCGAAGGCAGCAUACCGGCGCUCAACUGACGCUGAGGCACGAAAGCGUGGGGAUCGAACAGGAUUAGAUACCCCAGUAGUC
RNAcentral lists this ribosomal RNA (460 nucleotides) under uncultured bacterium. RNAcentral describes it as "partial 16S ribosomal RNA". It matches the Rfam family "Bacterial small subunit ribosomal RNA", at positions 338 to 795 of the family's 1533-position model. The record is from RNAcentral.